ACCUACGGGAGGCAGCAGUAGGGAAUUUUCGUCAAUGGGCGCAAGCCUGAACGAGCAAUGCCGCGUGAACGAGGAAGGUCUUCGGAUCGUAAAGUUCUGUUGAAGGGGAAAAAGAGCGGAGAGAGGAAAUGGUCUCCGAUUGAUAUUACCCUUCGAGGAAGUCACGGCUAACUACGUGCCAGCAGCCGCGGUAAUACGUAGGUGGCGAGCGUUAUCCGGAAUGAUUGGGCGUAAAGGGUGCGUAGGCGGCCGGCUAAGUCUGGAGUGAAAGGUACAGGCUCAACCGGUACAGGCUAUGGAAACUG
RNAcentral lists this ribosomal RNA (305 nucleotides) under uncultured bacterium. RNAcentral describes it as "bacterial SSU rRNA". It matches the Rfam family "Bacterial small subunit ribosomal RNA", at positions 337 to 635 of the family's 1533-position model. The record is from RNAcentral.